Long non-coding RNA from Mustela lutreola (European mink), 592 nucleotides. RefSeq lists it as uncharacterized. The transcript is spliced from 4 exons. The record is from RefSeq and is a predicted model, not a curated record. Lineage: Eukaryota; Metazoa; Chordata; Mammalia; Carnivora; Mustelidae.
CGCAAGGGUCCUCAGCAACACCUGAAAGGGAAGAUGUGGUUUGAAUGCUAAGCCGUUAAAUUGGCGUAUAAACAGUGAUUGAAGAGGACUGUGGAUAGAAAAUGGAGAAAAGGGGAUUACUAGGGAUUUUUAGAAGGUAGGUAACCGGUAACAACAGCUAACACUUCGAGCAACUCAAGGCCAAGAGAAGGAGAAUGAAGGCACAAGAUCUCGCUGGCGUCUUCGAUCUGAGUUAUGCCCUGCCCUGCUUUGUGUCAUAUGGAAUAUGUUCCAUGGUUGGCAAGAAUCUCUCACAUGAAAUCCCUGUUUUGUGGAAGGACUUGUGUGGUGAAUCCCAUCACUUUGUAGAAGUGUCUAGCCCUCCAGCGUGAAAGGCACCAGUCAGUCAUCCAAUCCUUUGGGGGUAAAAAGUACACUGACUAUUGAACGCCUGGAUGGUUCCAUUUUUCAGCUGGGGUCUGGAAGCUGAUAAUCCUUCUGACAUGUGUUAGAAGGUCAAUAAUAGCUGAAUGCUACAUCAUAACACCUACAUCUCACCUCACUUCAUCUUACCACAUUAUCAUUUUACCAUCUUGUAUCAAUCAUCACAAGA